This 212-nucleotide unclassified non-coding RNA is filed under the name uncultured bacterium. RNAcentral's name for it is "contains 16S-23S intergenic spacer region". The record is from RNAcentral.
CGUCAUCCACGAACAGAUCGCGGCGAAGACACAGAGGAUGAUGAGCCACUGGAAGACGACCACUAGGAGGAGGAGACCACUCUGAGCCUCGCGGGGCGUCCUGGUGAUUGCCUGAUCCUGAGAGCUGCCUUCCUGUCCACUGGCCGUCUCCAUCGCCCACGACCGUCCUUACGCCAGUGGCGGGCCAACAUCUCACCGUCAUCGAGACAGCG